This 488-nucleotide ribosomal RNA is filed under the name Enterobacter hormaechei subsp. steigerwaltii. RNAcentral's name for it is "bacterial SSU rRNA". It matches the Rfam family "Bacterial small subunit ribosomal RNA", at positions 45 to 522 of the family's 1533-position model. Lineage: Bacteria; Pseudomonadati; Pseudomonadota; Gammaproteobacteria; Enterobacterales; Enterobacteriaceae. The record is from RNAcentral.
GGCCUAACACAUGCAAGUCGAACGGUAACAGGAAGAAGCUUGCUGCUUCGCUGACGAGUGGCGGACGGGUGAGUAAUGUCUGGGAAACUGCCUGAUGGAGGGGGAUAACUACUGGAAACGGUAGCUAAUACCGCAUAACGUCGCAAGACCAAAGAGGGGGACCUUCGGGCCUCUUGCCAUCGGAUGUGCCCAGAUGGGAUUAGCUAGUAGGUGGGGUAACGGCUCACCUAGGCGACGAUCCCUAGCUGGUCUGAGAGGAUGACCAGCCACACUGGAACUGAGACACGGUCCAGACUCCUACGGGAGGCAGCAGUGGGGAAUAUUGCACAAUGGGCGCAAGCCUGAUGCAGCCAUGCCGCGUGUAUGAAGAAGGCCUUCGGGUUGUAAAGUACUUUCAGCGGGGAGGAAGGCGAUAAGGUUAAUAACCUUGUCGAUUGACGUUACCCGCAGAAGAAGCACCGGCUAACUCCGUGCCAGCAGCCGCGGUA